Non-coding RNA from Triticum urartu, 1621 nucleotides. The record is from RefSeq and is a predicted model, not a curated record. NCBI's taxonomy places the organism in Eukaryota, Viridiplantae, Streptophyta, Magnoliopsida, Poales, Poaceae.
AAAUAAUAAUAAAAUGUUCUCAUUCCACAAUUUGUAAACUAAAUCACACAAUUACAAAGGAGAUGCUCGACUGGAAAACUACAAAGGAGAUGCUCGACUGGAAAACUAAAGUAGAAAGGGGUAGAAAUUAGUAAGAUGAAUUCAUGUAGAACUUAUAGAUGAUUUCACAAAUGUCGCCCAUUCCGGAUAAAUGCCAUCUACUAGGUAGUAUCCCAAGUUAUACUCAUUGUGAUUGACUUCAAAGUGAACUUGUUCAUGUCUUUUCUUUUGGGCAUCAUCAUAAGCUGAAGUAUCUUUGUGAAGAAGAUCAAGGUAUUUGCUCAGUUUUUCCACCUUUAUCUUCUCCUUCUCAGUUUCAACUCUUUCUUUCUCAGCUUCUGCUUGAACUUUUGUGGCUUGUGCUUGAAUAAGGGUGGCGUCGGCCAUUUUCUCUGCAGCAAUUGAUUUUCUUAGUUGAAUCUCAUUAAAUUUGUCCACACUCUCACUUGUCAAGCUUCCAGAGCAUUUAGACCUGCUUGAUGACUUCUGUUUAUCUUUUGCGUCUUUUGAAGUGUUGCGUCCCGGGGGUCGUUGAAGUUCACCUUCCUCAUCUAUUGCCUGGGUUGGAGAACUAUAAGCUCCUGAUGCAUUCAACUUGUUUCUUUUGUUCAUCUCUUCAACUGAAUAAGACCUUCUCCAUUUAGCCUCUUUCCUCACGUACUCCCACCAGUGCUCAUAUGGAAAGGGUCUUUUUGUCUUGGCAACACUCAUGUAUUUGGCACGUACCCUCUCCAUAAGUUGCUUGUCAUCGCUCCCACUAGGCCAUGUACUUUUUUCAACAUUGUAGAUACCAUUGAACUUUGUAGCCUUCUUUGUGGUCUUGGUCCAGUGGUUCUUGCAUUGCCCAACUGUUUUCUUCUGCUCUUUCGUUGCAUAUUUGUUGUACUCUGCUGCGACUUCCUUCCAAUAGGUCUCUGCCCUUUUGGAGUUUCCAUCAAUCGGAUCACAUGAAUUGUGCACCCAAGCUGCUAUGAGAAGUUCAUCCUCACGCUUACUCCAGUUCUUGCCUUUUCCUUUUUUCUGAAUCUCAUCAGGACUACUAUCACUGCCAUCUUGAUUAUUGACAGCCAGAUCUUCAUCCACUUGAUAUGCAGGUGACAUGGGAGAACUAAAUCCAACUGGACUGUUCUCAUCUCCUCUUGAACUAGUGCCUCUAGCAGAUCCAAGAAAAGGUAUGCAUCCAGCAGGAGAAGCUGGACUGCUACUUGAGCCUGCUCCAAAUGCUCCUGGAGGGUACUGCCCCAUGUUACCUUGGGAAGCAACACCAUGGUAGCCUGGAGGUAUGGAUGGAACUUGCUGGUUAUUUGGGCUCUGUGCAUCUGAAGGUGGGAAGGAGGAGUUCAUCAUGCUUGUGAAGCUUUGAGAAGAUGAGUGCUCCAUGUUUUGGGGGAGAGUUUUUCCAAGAUCUUCUUGUGCUUCUAUGAGCUUGUUCUGUAUAUUUUAUAGACAUAUUCUCCAAACGGGCAGAUUUUUCUAUUGCAGUGCAACGGUCAUCUGAAAAUUUGAGUGCUCUGGUUUGCUGUAACUUGAAUGCUGUUUGGUAUGGAUUGAAUGAUGUUGCUCGGUGGUGGUUGGGUAGGAA